Long non-coding RNA from Sorghum bicolor (sorghum), 1611 nucleotides. RefSeq lists it as uncharacterized. The record is from RefSeq and is a predicted model, not a curated record. The transcript has 3 exons. Lineage: Eukaryota; Viridiplantae; Streptophyta; Magnoliopsida; Poales; Poaceae.
CCACGUCGUAUGGAGGAGCAUGCUUAUCCCAGCUAUUUGCUAGCGAAAAGAAAACCCUCAAGGGGCGGCGGCCAACCUCUCCCUCUCCUGAGAUCUCGCCUCCUUGAUCCUUGACUGAUUCUUCCCAUCGGCCCCAUCCUGCUCUACGAAUCCCUUUCCACCUGCGGCCUUAGGAUCCAGCAACAAGGUUGUGGGAGGCACGUCAUGGUGACAUCUUGAUGCGCCCAAUCCAGCCCCAUAUCCUGAUGCAGGACGUGAAAGGAUCUUCCUGUCAGCACCAUCUUACUCUGCGAUGUCCUCUCCACCUGCAAGGUCCAUACGAUCCAGCGGCAACAAGGUUGAGGAAGGCAUUCUAGCCUAAAAUCUCCUGCUGUAGAUUUUGUUCCCUGUCCUGUGAUUCCGGCCGUAAGGUAUUCCACCCCUCAUCCAAAUAAUUUUAAUUUUUGUCAUAUAGAUGCAGAUCACUGGAAUAAUUUCGGUGAUCCCACACUUUUUCCAUGGAUUAUUUGGGACAUAUUGUGUUCUUCGUGAAAUUUUUGAGUUCUGAUUAGUGAAAUUGAUCUUACAUAUCUGAUGGAUUGAUGUAAGAGAGCGGAUCACCUCGGCUGGAAUGUGUUUGGUAAAAUGCCAAUAUGGAAAGUUUAUAUGACAGCAACAAUUGUGGUGUCAUUCUUCUCUAGUCAAUAGAUUACUCCACUUAAAUAUUUAUUGUAUCAAUUCAUCGGAUGGUGAUAUUCAAAUGAUGUUUUUGGAUUUAUGUCAGAAAUUAUAAGAACCUAUCAAAAUGCAUGAUUCUGUUGCAUCAUUAAUAUAUACUUUUUCUGUUAGUGAAAAUACUUGACAUUUCAACUCACUCCAUUCUUUUGUCAAAAGAGAACUCACUCCAUUCGUUACAGGAUUGCUGGACGAUUUAGUCUGAACUCUGAAGACCAACUGCUGCUAUAACAUUUGCACUUACCGUUUCACAAUCAGGCACUAACCUAAAAUGAUUGCAGUGUGACUACUUACUAUCCAACUCUGCAAGGCAAAGCUUAGUAUACUAACCAUUUCUCAUUUUUUUUAUUAUUUAGUUGUGUACUUGUGUUGUUUAACGUGCGCAUUGACAUGUCUGAGUAUUCCAUUUGUUCAUUAGAAAUGCUCACUGAAAUACCUUAAAAUUACUGAAAUGCUCAGAUGUGUUAAAUAUGUGUACUACUUGGACUAAGAUUCUUGCUCAAAAUUUAUAAUUUUUUUGUGGUUGCUACCAGUUUCUCAAAGGAUCUCCCAAUUGUACAUUCUUAUUUCCAGAGAAUUCUUCAUACUGGGCGUGCAAAUGUUAGGUAAAACAUAUAUACUAUAUCUAGGCUCUUGGAAUGAUCAAUUCUUGCAUGGCCGAAAGGAUGCAGAUGAAAAGUGAAGAAGGAAUUGACAAAUUAUGUUGAAUGUGAGCCUGGAGAAGAUUGUGAAAUCAAACAUAUUUAUUUGACAAUCAUUAUGUAUUCUACAGUAUAUUUCGAUGGUUCUAGAUUCCAGCUUAGUUGAUUGUAGUAGCAAAACAUGUAUAUAUGGCCGUGAUAUAAUUAUUUAUAUUAACAAAAUAGCCAUGUAAGAGCUGUUUAUGAUGUGUUCUUA